UACGGUGAAUACGUUCCCGGACCUUGCACACACCGCCCGUCAAGCCAUGGAAGCCGGGUGUACCUAAAGUCGGUAACCGCAAGGAGCCGCCUAGGGUAAAACUGGUAACUGGGGCUAAGUCGUAACAAGGUACCC
Molecule: ribosomal RNA, 135 nt
Filed under: uncultured bacterium
Lineage: Bacteria
Description: partial 16S ribosomal RNA
Rfam family: Bacterial small subunit ribosomal RNA
Source: RNAcentral